RNAcentral lists this ribosomal RNA (554 nucleotides) under uncultured Chloroflexota bacterium. Its description in RNAcentral is "uncultured Chloroflexi bacterium partial 16S ribosomal RNA". It matches the Rfam family "Bacterial small subunit ribosomal RNA", at positions 327 to 896 of the family's 1533-position model. The record is from RNAcentral. Lineage: Bacteria; Bacillati; Chloroflexota.
ACCUCUUCACUCCUACGGGAGGCAGCAGCAAGGGAUUUUCCCCAAUGGGCGCAAGCCUGAGGGAGCAACGCCGCGUGGGGGAGGACGCCCUUCGGGGUGUAACCCCUUUUGGGGGGGACGAAGCACUGACGGUACCCCCCGAAGAAGGCCCGGCUAACUACGUGCCAGCAGCCGCGGUAAUACGUAGGGGCCGAGCGUUGUCCGGAGUUACUGGGCGUAAAGCGCGCGCAGGCGGUGCGUUAAGCCUGCCGUGAAAGCCCCCGGCUCAACCGGGGAGGGUCGGCGGGGACUGGCGCACUUGAGGACGGCAGGGGUCGGUGGAAUCCCCGGUGUAGUGGUGAAAUGCGUAGAGAUCGGGGGGAACACCCGUGGCGAAGGCGGCCGACUGGGCCGGACCUGACGCUGAGGCGCGAAGGCGUGGGGAGCGAACGGGAUUAGAUACCCCGGUAGUCCACGCAGUAAACGAUGCCGACUGGGCGUGGGGGGACUUGACCCCCUCCGUGCCGGAGCCAACGCGGGAAGUCGGCCGCCUGGGGAGUACGGCCGCAAGGCUA